UAAAUACUCCCUAGUGACCGAUAGUGAACCAGUACCGUGAGGGAAAGGUGAAAAGCACCCCGGAAGGGGAGUGAAACAGUUCCUGAAACCGUGUGCCUACAAGUAGUUAGAGCCCGUUAAUGGGUGAUAGCGUGCCUUUUGUAGAAUGAACCGGCGAGUUACGAUUUGUUGCAAGGUUAAGCGGAAAAAGCGGAGCCGUAGCGAAAGCGAGUCUGAAUAGGGCGCAUAAGUAACAGGUCGUAGACCCGAAACCAGGUGAUCUACCCAUGUCCAGGAUGAAGGUAAGGUAAUACUUACUGGAGGUCCGAACCCACGCACGUUGAAAAGUGCGGGGAUGAGGUGUGGGUAGCGGAGAAAUUCCAAUCGAACUUGGAGAUAGCUGGUUCUCUCCGAAAUAGCUUUAGGGCUAGCCUCGAGGUAAAGAGUCAUGGAGGUAGAGCACUGUUUGGACUAGGGGCCCUUCUCGGGUUACCGAAUUCAGAUAAACUCCGAAUGCCAUGUACUUAUACUCGGGAGUCAGACUGCGAGUGAUAAGAUCCGUAGUCGAAAGGGAAACAGCCCAGACCACCAGUUAAGGUCCCCAAAUAUAUGUUAAGUGGAAAAGGAUGUGGGGUUGCUUAGACAACCAGGAUGUUGGCUUAGAAGCAGCCACCAUUGAAAGAGUGCGUAAUAGCUCACUGGUCGAGUGACCCCGCGCCGAAAAUGUACCGGGGCUAAACAUAUUACCGAAACUGUGGAUGAACCUCUUUAGAGGUUCGUGGUAGGAGAGCGUUCUAAGGGCGGUGAAGUCAGACCGGAAGGACUGGUGGAGCGCUUAGAAGUGAGAAUGCCGGUAUGAGUAGCGAAAGAAGGGUGAGAAUCCCUUCCACCGAAUAUCUAAGGUUUCCUGAGGAAGGCUCGUCCGCUCAGGGUUAGUCGGGACCUAAGCUGAGGCCGAUAGGCGUAGGCGAUGGACAACAGGUAGAGAUUCCUGUACCAGUGCUAAUUGUUUAACCGAUGGGGUGACACAGAAGGAUAGGGAAUCGCACGAAUGGAAAUGUGCGUCCAAGCAGUGAGUGUGAGAAGUAGGCAAAUCCGCUUCUCGCGAAGCAUGAGCUGUGAUGGGGAAGGAAAUUAAGUACGGAAGUUCCUGAUUUCACGCUGUCAAGAAAAGCCUCUAGGAAGAGUAGUACUGCCCGUACCGCAAACCGACACAGGUAGAUGAGGAGAGAAUCCUAAGGUGAGCGAGAGAACUCUCGUUAAGGAACUCGGCAAAAUGACCCCGUAACUUCGGGAGAAGGGGUGCUCUAUUAGGGUGCAAGCCCGAGAGAGCCGCAGUGAAUAGGCCCAGGCGACUGUUUAGCAAAAACACAGGUCUCUGCAAAACCGUAAGGUGACGUAUAGGGGCUGACGCCUGCCCGGUGCUGGAAGGUUAAGAGGAGUGCUUAGCUUCGGCGAAGGUACGAAUUGAAGCCCCAGUAAACGGCGGCCGUAACUAUAACGGUCCUAAGGUAGCGAAAUUCCUUGUCGGGUAAGUUCCGACCCGCACGAAAGGCGCAACGAUCUGGGCACUGUCUCAACGAGAGACUCGGUGAAAUUAUAGUACCUGUGAAGAUGCAGGUUACCCGCGACAGGACGGAAAGACCCCGUGGAGCUUUACUGCAACCUGAUAUGGAAUGUUUGUACCGCUUGUACAGGAUAGGUAGGAGCCGAAGAGACGUGUGCGCUAGCAUACGAGGAGGCAAUGGUGGGAUACUACCCUGGCUGUAUGACCAUUCUAACCCGCCACGCUUAGCGCGUGGGGAGACAGUGUCAGGUGGGCAGUUUGACUGGGGCGGUCGCCUCCUAAAGAGUAACGGAGGCGCCCAAAGGUUCCCUCAGAAUGGAUGGAAAUCAUUCGCAGAGUGUAAAGGCACAAGGGAGCUUGACUGCGAGACUGACAAGUCGAGCAGGGACGAAAGUCGGGCUUAGUGAUCCGGUGGUUCCGCAUGGAAGGGCCAUCGCUCAACGGAUAAAAGCUACCCCGGGGAUAACAGGCUUAUCUCCCCCAAGAGUCCACAUCGACGGGGAGGUUUGGCACCUCGAUGUCGGCUCGUCGCAUCCUGGGGCUGUAGUCGGUCCCAAGGGUUGGGCUGUUCGCCCAUUAAAGCGGCACGCGAGCUGGGUUCAGAACGUCGUGAGACAGUUCGGUCCCUAUCCGUCGCGGGCGCAGGAAAUUUGAGAGGAGCUGUCCUUAGUACGAGAGGACCGGGAUGGACACACCGCUGGUGUACCAGUUGUUCCGCCAGGAGCAUCGCUGGGUAGCUAUGUGUGGCAGGGAUAAACGCUGAAAGCAUCUAAGCGUGAAGCCCCCCUCAAGAUGAGAUUUCCCAUUUCUUCGGAAAGUAAGAUCCCUGAAAGAUGAUCAGGUAGAUAGGUUUGGAGUGGAAGUGUAGCGAUACAUGGAGCGGACAAAUACUAAUCGAUCGAGGACUUAACCAAAA
RNAcentral lists this ribosomal RNA (2462 nucleotides) under Listeria monocytogenes. Its description in RNAcentral is "partial 23S ribosomal RNA". It matches the Rfam family "Bacterial large subunit ribosomal RNA", at positions 467 to 2925 of the family's 2925-position model. Lineage: Bacteria; Bacillati; Bacillota; Bacilli; Caryophanales; Listeriaceae. The record is from RNAcentral.